UUUCAUUUCCUUGCCGCUAUUUGGUGAGUCUUGUGCUGGAAAAGGGCCUAUCACCUACCUUCCUCUGGACCAGCUUUUGCAGAUGAAUUACUCUCUACCAUGGUCUUAGAAGGAGCAGUCAAGAAUGCCUCCCUUCCUUACCAUGCUGGCCUGGGCUGUUCAUGCCAGACUGCUUGCUCUGCUCUGUGAUCUGCAGAGGACUUUCAAGCACAACCUGGAGACAGAGAGCGGGCAGGGGGCCACAGAGCUCAGCUGCAGCUGAGAAGGGGUUUUCCCUCCUGGUCCUCUGCCAGUGCCAAGGAAGCCAAGAGAAGAUGAGACCAUGCUUCUGCAAAUGCAAAUAAAGAGACCUGCAGGAAGAGUGGCUGAUACCCAGAGUGCUGUGCUGCCAUUCAGAAGGAUCUUGACAGAGAGAAGGGCGGAGAAAAACACCGUGAAAUUCAACAAAGAGUGAAUAGCUGUUAAAGACAGAGUUUAGUGCUGGAAACCAUAUUCUCAAAGAAAACAAUAUCUGGGAAAGUGCACUGAAGAAAAGCAAGAUAUGACUGCAAGGCACAGAGAUUCUCAGCUGGUAUUGAAUCCCUCUGCCUCUGAUGACUUCAGAAGAGCUACAAGUCCAGUACAGAGGUUUGGCACAGGAUUGUAAUAAACAGUGCAACUACUCAUAUUAGCAAGUGAGACUACAAUACUACUUUCAAUAAAGAAAUGGGAACUUCUCCAUCGAUUACAGUGGAGUAGGUUCAAACCAUAAAAGAGCAUAUCAACAGCAGAGCCAGAACACUGUAAAAAAGCAGUCUCAUUUUGGACAGCAAAUGCAACCACACAUUAAUCCAUUUUUUGUAUAACAUAUAAAGAGGGUAGGAAAUCAUUUGUCAUUACUGGCAAAGGGGAAAAACUCAUCAACAAAGCCAUCACUUCAUUCAGGUGUGACCACAAUAUAUGUUACCACCACACCAAAAUUACAGCUGAGGCAAUGCCAGUCCUCUUUCAUGGGGACAUGGUAAACAGCUGAUAUGAGGAAAAAGGAAAAUGGUAUGGAGGAAAAUCUGUAAACCAAAGUUAUGUGGUAAGUCAAAGAGAGAAGUGCCAUAGCUGACUAUGUCCAAACAUGGCACUGGGAAAGUGAAAAUAUACCAUUUUUAACUUAAAGAUACUAUGCAGACAACUAAUUUUCUUACAAGAUUCCUCAUUAUUGCCACUGUAUUUAAGAUUUUUGCUCACUAUUCUUCUAAUUAGUCCAUAUAACACAUGACAUUAUAUUUAAUUUCUUGUUGGGAAAUAAAAGAAACAACAUGAAACAUAUUUGUCCUAUGACAACAAUUUGUAUACAUGUAGAAAGUGAAGAAUGAGAAUGAAUUCUCAAAAUAUAGGGCUCGACCAAUAAUGAGUAUAUCGUAUUGUUUAAUGUUUGCCUUGAACUUACAAUUCUUAGAAAGACAUUUUGAAAUGUCUUGAACAGAUUUUUAGUGAUGAUAAGAAUGUAUCACGACUCAGUCUGAAUUAUUCCAAAUAUUAUGUGCAUUGAAUAAUUUUCCACCUUAUUUUUAAGCAUAAUUAACCUAGUAUUGCAUCCUGAAUGCUGAAUUCCAAUGAAAACAUGUACCAGCCUUCAAAGAUCAGUAGAAAAAAUGACAUCUGGCAGAAGAAUAUAGCUACCACCUGGUCUACCAGAAGCAGGUGGAAAUCUAGGAAGUUCCUAUCUAUUGCACAUCUCCUUAAAAUAAAAAGUAGACAAACUCUUCCAGCUGGCAAAAUCUACAUCCUUUAUUGACUUUUCUGUACUGUAAAGAAUAAAAUAUGUGCAUAUAUACCUGUAAAAAAAAAUAGAAAAAGCAGUUUAUUUAACCAGAGGAAGCAUUUUUCCUGGCAGUCUUGUACUUAACUUUAUUAUUUGAAAAGCACUCUUCGGACCUGUAGUCUUCAGAAGUACAGACCUCUAUCUUCUAUCUGAAGAGAGCUUGGAAAUAUUUGAAUUGUCACAUUUAUUGACUAGUUGUGAUGAUCAACACAGACAUGAAUAAAUGCAGAUAAAUUGUUCACAG
Molecule: long non-coding RNA, 2042 nt
Organism: Gallus gallus (chicken)
Lineage: Eukaryota; Metazoa; Chordata; Aves; Galliformes; Phasianidae
Source: Ensembl